Molecule: ribosomal RNA, 292 nt
Filed under: uncultured bacterium
Lineage: Bacteria
Description: partial 16S ribosomal RNA
Rfam family: Bacterial small subunit ribosomal RNA
Source: RNAcentral
GUGCCAGCCGCCGCGGUAAUACGUAGGGUGCGAGCGUUAAUCGGAAUUACUGGGCGUAAAGCGUGCGCAGGCGGUUCGUCAAGUCUGAUGUGAAAGCCCCGGGCUCAACCUGGGAAUGGCAUGGGAAACUGACGGGCUGGAGUAUGGCAGAGGGGGGUGGAAUUCCGCGUGUAGCAGUGAAAUGCGUAGAGAUGCGGAGGAACACCGAUGGCGAAGGCAGCCCCCUGGGCCAAUACUGACGCUCAGGCACGAAAGCGUGGGGAGCGAACAGGAUUAGAUACCCUCGUAGUCC